Molecule: long non-coding RNA, 1334 nt
Filed under: Musa acuminata (dwarf banana)
Lineage: Eukaryota; Viridiplantae; Streptophyta; Magnoliopsida; Zingiberales; Musaceae
Description: long non-coding RNA (MACU_LNC005893)
Source: RNAcentral
UUCUUUUAGGAGAAAGAAAGCCAUGAACGAGAUGUAUAAAACUUACAGUGUCAACAAUGCUUCUUUGGGCAUCAUAAGAUCAAUAGUUAGCAAGUCAUGAUGGAGGAUGACUUGCUAAUAAUUAGGAUCAAUAAUCUGCAGAUAAGUAUAUACAUGGAGAAAGAAGACAAUAUGCAGCAUCAACCUCCAUUACUUACUCGAAAACGAAAUCAAAUUGCCUCAACUAGAACAUAAAGUGGCAGUUCUACAAGUGCACAGACCAAAAGAAGUACUUUGAGAUUUGUUGGUGUGGCAGCAUAAGCUGAAUGCAGAGAACGAAUAAGGGCUUGGGCAUCACUUGUAUUUGAUUUCACCAUCCUCAACUCUAGGUUUCCUGAAAUUGAAAACAAAAGAAACAAGACAUAUUGGUAGUUUUUCAUCAAACACAACAACAAUGCCACAGAAAAAAAGUCUGAAAAAAUGCAUUAGCAAUAAAGAAGUUCACAAGCACUUAGCUUCAUAAGAAACAUCUAUGUUUUGAAAGGAAAAUUGGUGGAUCAGCUGAACUGAUGUGAUAAUCAUAGAUGUCUCAUUAACAGAUGGCGCAGAGGUACCAGUAAGAUGCUUCAUUGAGUACAAUGAACAACGAAACUGUGUAAUAAUAGAGUCUGAGACACGUAAUAGAGCAAUAAGCCAUAUGUUAUGACGACUAUUUGGGGUUGGCUACAUGGUCUUUUCGCAUCGCUGAGCCCAAUUGAGGGCAAUCUCACAGAUCAAAUUGAAAUCCAUCAAAGCCUUCUUAUUGUUUCUAAUUAGGCCUUCUUUAAUUGUGGACCUUCGAAGAAGCACUUAUUUAUAGCAAAUUUAAGCGUUCUCAGAAUGUAUUCUAGGCAAGCCCUAGGUUCCAUUAACAUCAAGCCAAAUGAAGAUUGAUCAAUCUCUCCAACAAUUUAGCAAGACAAAUGAGAGAAAAAAAUCUUUCUAGCCAAACUCAUUCAUCCAACAAAUUUGGCAAAUCCUCACUCGUUCAUUCAAAACCUAAGCCAACAAAUACCCCAAAUCCUAAGUUAUUUCGUGCGCCUAGACACAGACGGAUACAGAUUCUCCUUACUCUUUUGGCAUCACCAUGUCUCGUCAUCUCCGCAAAGAGGGCGUGCGCGACGGCCAAAAUCGAAGCUUUUCUAAAGCUGGUGCAACAACAACGAACAGCAACCAGAGAAGUUCAAUCAUAGCUAGAGAUCACAUCGAGUCAUGAAGAUCCAAACAGAAAAGCCGGACGACAUGCGAAGAUCAAAUCCCAAACUUCAAAGAGAAAUACAAAGAUGAAAGGGAAGGGAGGAUAUGGAGAGACGAAC